This 1408-nucleotide unclassified non-coding RNA is filed under the name Hevea brasiliensis (rubber tree). The record is from RNAcentral. Lineage: Eukaryota; Viridiplantae; Streptophyta; Magnoliopsida; Malpighiales; Euphorbiaceae.
UUCUUCUCAGACGAAGUUUCAGAGAUCGGAUUCUCCUUCUCUUCCCCCUGAGCUCUCUCAGACUGCUUUUCCAUUUCCCUCUCUCGCUCACUCUCUCUCUCUUUGGAAGUUGUAGAAAAUAGAGAAAGAUGGGUGUGAAGCAAGUUCUAAGAGCCAUGGAUGCUUUUCCACGCGCGGAAGAGCAUUUGUUACAAAAGACUAAAUCUGGCGCCUUUGUGUCCAUUGUGGGGCUGGUUAUCAUGUCAACAUUAUUUCUGCAUGAACUGAGUUACUAUCUUAAUACAAUUACAGUUCACCAGAUGGCUGUUGACUUGAGACGUGGAGAGACUCUUCCCAUACACAUAAAUAUGACAUUCCCCUCUUUACCUUGUGAUGUUCUAAGUGUGGAUGCUAUUGAUAUGUCGGGGAAGCAUGAAGUAGACCUUGAUACAAACAUAUGGAAGCUUCGCUUGAACAGUGAUGGCCACAUUACUGGAACUGAGUAUCUGUCAGACCUUGUGGAGAAGGAACAUAAACAUGAUGAUCAUAAAGACCAUCACGAUGAUUCGGAUAAUAAAACCCAUAUGCAAGGGUUCGAUCAAGAGGCUGAAAAUUUGAUUAAAAAGGUCAAGCAAGCAUUGGCUCAUGGGGAGGGAUGCAGAGUCUAUGGUGUUUUGGAUGUCCAACGUGUUGCUGGAAAUUUCCAUAUAUCUGUUCAUGGGUUAAACAUUUUUGUUGCUCAAAUGAUUUUUGGAGGUACUACUCAUGUCAAUGUGAGCCAUAUCAUCCAUGACUUAUCAUUUGGGCCCAAAUAUCCUGGUGGCCACAACCCACUUGAUGGAACAGAACGAAUUCUGCGUGGAGCAAGUGGAACAUUCAAAUAUUAUAUUAAGAUUGUUCCCACUGAAUAUAGGUACCUGUCAAAAGAAGUUUUGCCAACUAAUCAAUUCUCUGUAUCGGAAUACUUUUCUCCCAUCAAUGAGUUUGAUCGGACAUGGCCAGCUGUAUAUUUCUUAUAUGAUUUGUCACCAAUUACUGUGACCAUCAGAGAAGAACGUCGCAAUUUUCUGCACUUUAUCACUCGGCUAUGUGCAGUACUUGGUGGUACUUUUGCCUUGACAGGCAUGCUAGAUAAAUGGAUGUUCAGGUUCCUUGAAGCAGUUAUGAAGAAAAACAGCAGAAGCCUUGUGCGGUAAUUUAAGGUUAUCUAGUGACAUGUAGCCUACAAAGUAAUAUUCAGUCAGGGAUUUUGCACUAUACAUGGAAAAUUUUAGCGGUGAACAAUGGAGAUCAAUCAAUGAGGCUUGUUUAUAUUAUGUUUCCUGUGUAUUUCUUUUCCUCACUUUUUUAUCCUUUAUUUUUUAUAGCACUUUACACAAAUAUACUGCACUGUACCCAAGCCAUUCUAGCAGUCCGAGAAAAGUUUUAC